Molecule: ribosomal RNA, 914 nt
Filed under: uncultured archaeon
Lineage: Archaea
Description: bacterial SSU rRNA
Rfam family: Archaeal small subunit ribosomal RNA
Source: RNAcentral
UUCCGGUUGAUCCUGCCGGACCUGACUGCUAUCGGAUUGAUACUAAGCCAUGCAAGUCUUUGUAGUAAUACAAGGCAUACGGCUCAGUAACGCGUAGUCAACCUACCCUAUGGAUGGGGAUAAUCUCGGGAAACUGAGCAUAAUACCCAACAGAUCAUCAAUUCUGGAAUGGUUGAUGAUUCAAAUGAUUUUUCGCCAUAGGAUGGGACUGCGACCUAUCAGCUUGUUGGUGAGGUAAUGGCCCACCAAGGCAAUUACAGGUACGGGCUCUGAGAGGAGAAGCCCGGAGAUGGGUACUGAGACAAGGACCCAGGCCCUAUGGGGCGCAGCAGGCGAGAAAACUUUGCAAUGUGCGAAAGCACGACAAGGUUAAUCCGAGUGAUUUCUGCUAAAGGAAUCUUUUACCAGUUCUAAAAAUACUGGCGAAUAAGGGGUGGGCAAGUUCUGGUGUCAGCCGCCGCGGUAAAACCAGCACCUCAAGUGGUCAGGAGGAUUAUUGGGCCUAAAGCAUCCGUAGCCGGCUCUGUAAGUUUUCGGUUAAAUCUAUAUGCUCAACAUACAGGCUGCCGAAAAUACUGCAUAGCUAGGGAAUGGGAGAGGUAGACGGUACUCGGUAGGAAGGGGUAAAAUCCUUUGAUCUAUCGAUGACCACCUGUGGCGAAGGCGGUCUACCAGAACAUGUUCGACGGUGAGGGAUGAAAGCUGGGGGAGCAAACCGGAUUAGAUACCCGGGUAGUCCCAGCUGUAAACGAUGCAGACUCGAUAAUGCACUGGCACAUAGCCAGUGCAGUGUCGCAGGGAAGCCGUUAAGUCUGCCGCCUGGGAAGUACGUACGCAAGUAUGAAACUUAAAGGAAUUGGCGGGGGAGCACCACAAGGGGUGAAGCCUGCGGUUCAAUUGGAAUCAACGCCGGA